UUCUAAGGUUUCUUGUUUUAUUUUAUGAUGAGAUAACUUCCUUAUUAGAUUCAAACAUUCAACAUUAAUAAUUAUAUGGAGGUAUUAUAUUAUGAAGCAAGGUACUGUUAAAUGGUUCAACGCUGAUAAAGGUUACGGUUUCAUCACCACAGAUGAUGGUGACGUAUUCGUUCACUUCUCAGCAAUUAACAAAGACGGAUUCAAGACUCUUGAUGAAGGCGAAAAAGUUACUUUAGACGUCGAAGAUGGCGAUCGUGGCCCACAAGCUGCUAACGUUACUCCCGUUGAAGGUUAAUAACUUUUAAAAAAACAUCUCAAUUUAUUGAGGUGUUUUUUU
Molecule: regulatory RNA element, 337 nt
Rfam family: cspA thermoregulator
Source: Rfam